UGGGGAAUAUUGGACAAUGGGCGAAAGCCUGAUCCAGCCAUGCCGCGUGUGUGAAGAAGGUCUUCGGAUUGUAAAGCACUUUAAGUUGGGAGGAAGGGCAGUAAGUUAAUACCUUGCUGUUUUGACGUUACCAACAGAAUAAGCACCGGCUAACUUCGUGCCAGCAGCCGCGGUAAUACGAAGGGUGCAAGCGUUAAUCGGAAUUACUGGGCGUAAAGCGCGCGUAGGUGGUUCGUUAAGUUGGAUGUGAAAGCCCCGGGCUCAACCUGGGAACUGCAUCCAAAACUGGCGAGCUAGAGUAUGGCAGAGGGUGGUGGAAUUUCCUGUGUAGCGGUGAAAUGCGUAGAUAUAGGAAGGAACACCAGUGGCGAAGGCGACCACCUGGGCUAAUACUGACACUGAGGUGCGAAAGCGUGGGGAGCAAACAGG
This 429-nucleotide ribosomal RNA is filed under the name uncultured Pseudomonas sp. Its description in RNAcentral is "bacterial SSU rRNA". It matches the Rfam family "Bacterial small subunit ribosomal RNA", at positions 355 to 776 of the family's 1533-position model. The record is from RNAcentral. Lineage: Bacteria; Pseudomonadati; Pseudomonadota; Gammaproteobacteria; Pseudomonadales; Pseudomonadaceae.